AAAAGGCUUUGUCAAGUGCCUCGCUGAGACUUGUUUGCCAAAUUUUGAGAUAACUUCGUGUGAAGCAUGAUCAAUCUUCUGUGCUUUUUGCAGCUCAGAGUUUGUGGAUGAAAAGAAAAAAGGAGAGGAAAUGGCCUUGUUUCUUGUCUUUAGAGCUGAACAUAAGCAGAUCUGACUAUAAUGGUUGACUUCUCCACCGAACAAGGCCAGACAUCCCUAUUGUUCAAGGUACCAGGCUCUUGGAGCCUUACAUUCUUCAGUGUUAGAAGAGUCUCACCCAGGCUGAGUGCGGAGGUACAAUCAUGGAUCACUGC
Molecule: non-coding RNA, 314 nt
Organism: Macaca mulatta (Rhesus monkey)
Lineage: Eukaryota; Metazoa; Chordata; Mammalia; Primates; Cercopithecidae
Source: RefSeq, a predicted model, not a curated record